This is a long non-coding RNA of Lemur catta (Ring-tailed lemur), 362 nucleotides long. RefSeq lists it as uncharacterized. The record is from RefSeq and is a predicted model, not a curated record. The transcript is spliced from 3 exons. Lineage: Eukaryota; Metazoa; Chordata; Mammalia; Primates; Lemuridae.
UUCUCUCCCUUCAUCACACUUGGCACAUUUUCUCUCUGGACAAAUCCAGCGGACAUUUUGCAGACCUGCUAAUCUCAGGAAGACUGAAGUUUUUAGAAGGUCACUCUUCAUAUUUAGGGGACUCUGCUAGUGUGUUACCCAGGGAAGAUCAGCAACCACAAAAUGUUGGCUAUAAUUUUCUGCAAUUUGUUGCAUGCCCUCUUCAAGCCCUGGGAUUCUGUUGUUGGAGCCACAAGGACCCUUAAGAAAAACGCUUGGAGCCAGCUGGUCCCUGCCAUCAUUGCAACCCAAAGGGAGGAGCUCCGCGGGUGAGAAACUACUCUCUGGAUGCCUUGAAGUUACUUGUAUUUCAAAAGAAUUCA